This 492-nucleotide ribosomal RNA is filed under the name uncultured bacterium. RNAcentral's name for it is "partial 16S ribosomal RNA". It matches the Rfam family "Bacterial small subunit ribosomal RNA", at positions 29 to 507 of the family's 1533-position model. The record is from RNAcentral.
AGUGAACGCUGGCGGUAGGCCUAACACAUGCAAGUCGAACGGCAGCACAGUAAGAGCUUGCUCUUACGGGUGGCGAGUGGCGGACGGGUGAGGAAUACAUCGGAAUCUACUUUUUCGUGGGGGAUAACGUAGGGAAACUUACGCUAAUACCGCAUACGACCUACGGGUGAAAGCAGGGGAUCUUCGGACCUUGCGCGAUUGAAUGAGCCGAUGUCGGAUUAGCUGGUUGGCGGGGUAAAGGCCCACCAAGGCGACGAUCCGUAGCUGGUCUGAGAGGAUGAUCAGCCACACUGGAACGGAGACACGGUCCAGACUCCUACGGGAGGCAGCAGUGGGGAAUAUUGGACAAUGGGCGCAAGCCUGAUCCAGCCAUACCGCGUGGGUGAAGAAGGCCUUCGGGUUGUAAAGCCCUUUUGUUGGGAAAGAAAAGCAGCAGGUUAAUACCCCGCUGUUCUGACGGUACCCAAAGAAUAAGCACCGGCUAACUUCGUG